GGCGAACAUGUUGAAAUUUGGUAAACAAUCUCCUCUUAAGCAGGAGUGGAAGUAAUUCCUUAAGAGUUCGAGUCUCUUUGUUCGUAGUCUUGU
Molecule: transfer RNA, 93 nt
Filed under: Pleurotus pulmonarius
Lineage: Eukaryota; Fungi; Basidiomycota; Agaricomycetes; Agaricales; Pleurotaceae
Description: tRNA-Leu
Rfam family: tRNA
About the family: Transfer RNA (tRNA) molecules are approximately 80 nucleotides in length. Their secondary structure includes four short double-helical elements and three loops (D, anti-codon, and T loops). Further hydrogen bonds mediate the characteristic L-shaped molecular structure. tRNAs have two regions of fundamental functional importance: the anti-codon, which is responsible for specific mRNA codon recognition, and the 3' end, to which the tRNAs corresponding amino acid is attached (by aminoacyl-tRNA synthetases). tRNAs cope with the degeneracy of the genetic code in two manners: having more than one tRNA (with a specific anti-codon) for a particular amino acid; and 'wobble' base-pairing, i.e. permitting non-standard base-pairing at the 3rd anti-codon position.
Source: RNAcentral